UGCCAGCAGCCGCGGUAAUAGGUAGGAUCCCAGCGUUAUCCGGAAUUAUUGGGUUUAAAGGGUCCGCAGGCUGUUUGUUAAGUCAGGGGUGAAAUCCUACCGCUCAACGGUAGAACUGCCUUUGAUACUGGCAAACUUGAGUUAUUGUGAAGUAGUUAGAAUGUGUAGUGUAGCGGUGAAAUGCAUAGAUAUUACACAGAAUACCAAUUGCGAAGGCAGAGUACUAACAAUUAACUUACGCUGAGGGACUACAGCUUGGGUAGCGAACAGGAUUAGAUA
Molecule: ribosomal RNA, 279 nt
Filed under: uncultured bacterium
Lineage: Bacteria
Description: partial 16S ribosomal RNA
Rfam family: Bacterial small subunit ribosomal RNA
Source: RNAcentral